GACGAACGCUGGCGGCGUGCUUAACACAUGCAAGUCGAACGGAGGUUAAUGAGAAGUUUACUUUUAUUAACCUAAGUGGCGGACGGGUGAGUAACGCGUGGAUAACCUACCCCUUAGCCUGGGAUAACGCCGGGAAACUGGUGCUAAUACCGGAUACGUUCAUUUGACUGCCUAGUCAGAUGAAGAAAGGUGCAAACCGCUACAGGAUGGGUCCGCGUCCCAUUAGCUAGUUGGUAGAGUAACAGCCUACCAAGGCAUCGAUGGGUAGCCGGCCUGAGAGGGCGACCGGCCACACUGGAACUGAGAAACGGUCCAGACUCCUACGGGAGGCAG
This 333-nucleotide ribosomal RNA is filed under the name uncultured Bacillota bacterium. RNAcentral's name for it is "bacterial SSU rRNA". It matches the Rfam family "Bacterial small subunit ribosomal RNA", at positions 28 to 351 of the family's 1533-position model. The record is from RNAcentral. Lineage: Bacteria; Bacillati; Bacillota.